ACGGAUGAAUCUUUUCCGGCGACACACUUCUGCCGAUACCAGACACGGUGGCGUGCGUCUGAAGCGGUAAUCUCCGGGGGUCAUCGCGUCGCCAGACGGCAAGAGCCGAUGGCUGGUAGAAGCAGAUACGGAGAGAGGAAGUGUGGGUGUUUGUUUAAGUGCGUUUGAAUGGAGGGGGACGCUUUAUUUCCUCCCCUCUGAGUGAAACUCAACACGGUGGUGCAGGAGAGGAGGCUCAUUCUUUUUGUUCGGCGCACUGAGUCAUGCCAUUGGUGUUUAGACGGCGCAUUUCAUGUUAUUAAUGUGCCUCGGGGACUCGGUUUGAGCUCAUCAAUGAGAUGAAUGUGCAGACGCAUAAUGGAACGGCCAGCCCUAGAACAGGGCAGCUGAACCCUUGGUUGUCCCCAGAGGAGGUUGUGAAACAACCCCAGGACGACCUCAUACGGAUGGCGGUUCUGGGGCAGGGCCUGUCGUCCCAUUACACGCCCCAGCGGCCCUGGAGAUGAACAUGAUCUUGGAAAUGGAGCAGACGGAGAAACAGGCCGCGGACCCAGGCCACGGGCCCCUAGGGUUGGGGGUCCCCAGAGCCCAUGGCUCAAUGACUCGGGUCAAUAUUUUUCAAAAUCAUCACUAUUUGUUGUUCAUAGUCCUUAAAACUGAUUUUCAAUGUCAAUCAUACUUGAGUUUUAGUUUUUAACCAGCUUUGUAUACCAGUUUUAACAGCUAACCGCGGGUUAAUAUGAAGCCGGAAACCAUUUCAUCCCUAAUCCACAUGAAAAAAAAAUGUUAAGCCACGAUGACGCAACUCGCUUGUG
Gadus macrocephalus (Pacific cod) is the source of this 815-nucleotide long non-coding RNA. RefSeq lists it as uncharacterized. Lineage: Eukaryota; Metazoa; Chordata; Actinopteri; Gadiformes; Gadidae. The transcript has 3 exons. The record is from RefSeq and is a predicted model, not a curated record.